AAAGCGUGCGCAGGCGGUUUUUGUAAGUCUGAUGUGAAAUCCCCGGGCUCAACCUGGGAAUUGCAUUGGAGACUGCAAGGCUAGAAUCUGGCAGAGGGGGGUAGAAUUCCACGUGUAGCAGUGAAAUGCGUAGAUAUGUGGAGGAACACCGAUGGCGAAGGCAGCCCCCUGGGUCAAGAUUGACGCUCAUGCACGAAAGCGUGGGGAGCAAACAGGAUUAGAUACCCAGU
Molecule: ribosomal RNA, 230 nt
Filed under: uncultured bacterium
Lineage: Bacteria
Description: partial 16S ribosomal RNA
Rfam family: Bacterial small subunit ribosomal RNA
Source: RNAcentral